UGCGAGUCGAACGUGAAAGCACUUCGGUGUGAGUAGAGUGGCGGACGGGUGAGUAACGCGUGGGAAUCUACCCAGUAGUGGGGGACAACUACCGGAAACGGUAGCUAAUACCGCAUACGCCCUAUGGGGGAAAGGCUUCGGCCGCUAUUGGAUGAGCCCGCGUCAGAUUAGCUAGUUGGUAGGGUAAAGGCCUACCAAGGCAACGAUCUGUAGCUGGUCUGAGAGGACGAACAGCCACACUGGGACUGAGACACGGCCCAGACUCCUACGGGAGGCAGCAGUGGGGAAUAUUGGACAAUGGGCGAAAGCCUGAUCCAGCAAUGCCGCGUGUGUGAAGAAGGCCUGCGGGUUGUAAAGCACUUUCAGUUGGGAAGAUGAUGACGUUACCAACAGAAGAAGCACCGGCUAAAUCCGUGCCAGCAGCCGCGGUAAUACGGAUGGUGCGAGCGUUAAUCGGAAUUACUGGGCGUAAAGCGCGCGUAGGCGGCUAAGUCAGUCAGAAGUGAAAGCCCCGGGCUCAACCUGGGAAUUGCUUUUGAUACUGCUUAGCUAGAGUUUGGUAGAGGAUAGUGGAAUUCCAGGUGUAGCGGUGAAAUGCGUAGAUAUCUGGAGGAACAUCAGUGGCGAAGGCGACUGUCUGGACCAAAACUGACGCUGAGGUGCGAAAGCGUGGGUAGCAAACAGGAUUAGAUACCCUGGUAGUCCACGCCGUAAACGAUGUCAACUAGCCGUCGGGUCUAUUUACAGACUUGGUGGCGAAGCUAACGCGAUAAGUUGACCGCCUGGGGAGUACGGCCGCAAGGUUAAAACUCAAAGGAAUUGACGGGGGCCCGCACAAGCGGUG
RNAcentral lists this ribosomal RNA (844 nucleotides) under uncultured Gammaproteobacteria bacterium. RNAcentral describes it as "bacterial SSU rRNA". It matches the Rfam family "Bacterial small subunit ribosomal RNA", at positions 56 to 934 of the family's 1533-position model. Lineage: Bacteria; Pseudomonadati; Pseudomonadota; Gammaproteobacteria. The record is from RNAcentral.